GGCGGCAGCUUACCAUGCAGUCGAGCGGUAACAGGGGGUGCUUGCACCCCGCUGACGAGCGGCGGACGGGUGAGUAAUGCAUAGGAAUCUGCCCAGUAGUGGGGGAUAGCCCGGGGAAACCCGGAUUAAUACCGCAUACGCCCUUUGGGGGAAAGCAGGGGAUCUUCGGACCUUGCGCUAUUGGAUGAGCCUAUGUCGGAUUAGCUAGUUGGUGGGGUAAAGGCCUACCAAGGCGACGAUCCGUAGCUGGUCUGAGAGGAUGAUCAGCCACAUCGGGACUGAGACACGGCCCGAACUCCUACGGGAGGCAGCAGUGGGGAAUAUUGGACAAUGGGGGCAACCCUGAUCCAGCCAUGCCGCGUGUGUGAAGAAGGCUUUCGGGUUGUAAAGCACUUUCAGUGAGGAGGAAAACCUUCUGGUUAAUACCCAUGAGGCUUGACGUUACUCACAGAAGAAGCACCGGCUAACUCCGUGCCAGCAGCCGCGGUAAUACGGAGGGUGCAAGCGUUAAUCGGAAUUACUGGGCGUAAAGCGCGCGUAGGUGGUUUGAUAAGCGAGAUGUGAAAGCCCCGGGCUUAACCUGGGAACGGCAUUUCGAACUGUC
RNAcentral lists this ribosomal RNA (604 nucleotides) under Marinobacter sp. RNAcentral describes it as "bacterial SSU rRNA". It matches the Rfam family "Bacterial small subunit ribosomal RNA", at positions 38 to 637 of the family's 1533-position model. The record is from RNAcentral. Lineage: Bacteria; Pseudomonadati; Pseudomonadota; Gammaproteobacteria; Pseudomonadales; Marinobacteraceae.